Molecule: small nucleolar RNA, 138 nt
Organism: Ornithorhynchus anatinus (platypus)
Lineage: Eukaryota; Metazoa; Chordata; Mammalia; Monotremata; Ornithorhynchidae
Source: RefSeq, a predicted model, not a curated record
CCCCUCUCGGGAUCGUAUCUGGAGAGUUUCCAGUACUCUACCAGUCUCGGCCAUGGGAGGGAGAAUUAAGCAGAGUCCUACCCAUUCCAUUCCUAGCUCGGGCAGUGGCUAGUGAGGGGAAGGCAAUCUGCCACAAGU